This 490-nucleotide ribosomal RNA is filed under the name uncultured bacterium. Its description in RNAcentral is "partial 16S ribosomal RNA". It matches the Rfam family "Bacterial small subunit ribosomal RNA", at positions 30 to 507 of the family's 1533-position model. The record is from RNAcentral.
AUUGAACGCUGGCGGCAGGCCUAACACAUGCAAGUCGAACGGUAACAGGAAGAAGCUUGCUUCUUUGCUGACGAGCGGCGGACGGGUGAGUAAUGUCUGGGAAACUGCCUGAUGGAGGGGGAUAACUACUGGAAACGGUAGCUAAUACCGCAUAACGUCGCAAGACCAAAGAGGGGGACCUUCGGGCCUCUUGCCAUCGGAUGUGCCCAGAUGGGAUUAGCUAGUAGGUGGGGUAACGGCUCACCUAGGCGACGAUCCCUAGCUGGUCUGAGAGGAUGACCAGCCACACUGGAACUGAGACACGGUCCAGACUCCUACGGGAGGCAGCAGUGGGGAAUAUUGCACAAUGGGCGCAAGCCUGAUGCAGCCAUGCCGCGUGUAUGAAGAAGGCCUUCGGGUUGUAAAGUACUUUCAGCGGGGAGGAAGGGAGUAAAGUUAAUACCUUUGCUCAUUGACGUUACCCGCAGAAGAAGCACCGGCUAACUCCGUG